Molecule: long non-coding RNA, 143 nt
Organism: Etheostoma spectabile (orangethroat darter)
Lineage: Eukaryota; Metazoa; Chordata; Actinopteri; Perciformes; Percidae
Exons: 3
Source: RefSeq, a predicted model, not a curated record
CUAUAUCUAUGAAAGUCUUUUUGGGUCGUCUUUCCACUUUCCCAACCAUCACAACUCUAGUUUUGGUAGAAAUAAACACCUAGUUUACCGAUUUAUAUGUGAAAAUAUGUUGGCUCUAUACACGCAAACAUAUUUUUUUAAAU